UUUUUUUUUUUUUGCAUGUGCAUGUAUGUACUUAUUCGAGUUGGUUUGUAUAUGUGCAUGCAGAGGUUGACUUGAAGUGUGUUCCUCAAUUGCUCUUUGAUUUAUGUUCUGAAGCCAUGUCUUGAUGAGCCUGGAGCUUGCAGGUUGGUUAAGAUCACUUGCUAAUCUGCCUCCAGAGAUCCUUUGCCUCCACUUCCCAAUCACUGGGAUUGCCCAGUUGGUUUUUAUGUAGCUACAGAAAACCCAGUUUUCCUGCUUCCAUGGCAAACAUUUCAUCUACUGAGCUAUAUCCAUAGCUCAGUUUUUUUUUUAAUAUUAUUUGGCUAUGAUUAUCUUGGUUGCUUCAAAAGUCAAAUUCAUUUUUUUUGUUUGCUGUUGUUUUUUGUUUUUAGAAACAGGGAUUCUCUGUAUAGCCCUGCUGUCCUGGAACUCAUGCUGCAGAUGAGGCUGACCCUUGAAGUGAGAGAGCUGCUUGCCCCUGCCUUCUUACUGCUGAGAUUAAAGGUCUGUGUAUCAUUUUUGAGAUAAACUCAGUGUAAACUAUAAGGCAAAGACAUGUUCGAAUUUAAUCUACAUAUAACACCCAGCAUGGAGAGAAUCAGAAACCAAGAGCAUGGUGUACUCAGUCUAACCCACAGGUUAUGGUAAGAACCAUUUGAACAUUUCUUGGUCGGGAUUGUUCUGCUUUUGUGUGUUUCUUCUGUCUUUUGGCUGUGAGUGACCUGCCGAUCUGUACACAUCAGAGUGCCAGGCGGCGUCCUGUGCUGUCCAAGUUUUCCCAGAUACUUUCUUGAGUCAAAGCUGACUUUCAUUCAAAUGUCAUGCUGUCCCCUGCAACAGUUCACAGUCUAUGUAGACUCCACGAUAUGUUUGUAUGUAUGUGGGUCAGGUUCUUUUCACAGCUGUCAAUUCUCCAGAUCAUGUGAUCUGCUGUGAAUUUUCCACCCACAGUUCAAGGAUGCUUUGCCCAUUGCUUUGGCUGGUGUCUCUGUGUAAGUGGCCAGGGCUGCAGUGGGAAGGCUUUAGAGACACCCAAGACUGUUGAUGAACAGAUCAGUUUCCUUUUAGGAGACACUUAACCUUGAAGUCCCAAUCCACCAGUACUAAGGUAUCCUAAAUACUGUCUUCUUGCAGCUUAGUGGAAUAGGCUGACACUUCAAAUGUCAUUAUAAGUGUGUGACCAAGCACACACACACAAACAAACAAACACAAUUUAUGACUUGCAAACACAAGCAGUGACAAUUUGAAUUUUAACUGGA
Molecule: long non-coding RNA, 1259 nt
Filed under: Mus musculus (house mouse)
Lineage: Eukaryota; Metazoa; Chordata; Mammalia; Rodentia; Muridae
Description: predicted gene 12610
Source: RNAcentral